RNAcentral lists this ribosomal RNA (861 nucleotides) under uncultured bacterium. RNAcentral's name for it is "bacterial SSU rRNA". It matches the Rfam family "Bacterial small subunit ribosomal RNA", at positions 62 to 897 of the family's 1533-position model. The record is from RNAcentral.
UCGAACGCGAAGGAAGUCUUCGGACUUCUGGAGAGUGGCGCACGGGUGAGUAACACGUGGGUAAUCUGCCUUUGGGUGGGGAAUAACGGCCCGAAAGGGUCGCUAAUACCGCAUAACGCAGCGGCACCGCAUGGUGACAGUUGUUAAAGGGGGGGAUCGAAAGACCUCUCGCCUGAAGAGGAGCCCGCGUCCGAUUAGCUAGUUGGUGAGGUAAUGGCCCACCAAGGCAUCGAUCGGUAGCCGGCCUGAGAGGGCGGUCGGCCACACUGGCACUGAGACACGGGCCAGACUCCUACGGGAGGCAGCAGUGGGGAAUUUUGGGCAAUGGGCGCAAGCCUGACCCAGCAACGCCGCGUGAAGGAUGAAAUCCCUCUGGGAUGUAAACUUCGAAAGUCGGGAAAGAAAUCGCCAUGGAUAACACCCGUGGUGGAUGACGGUACCCGACGUAAGCCCCGGCUAACUACGUGCCAGCAGCCGCGGUAAUACGUAGGGGGCAAGCGUUGUUCGGAAUUACUGGGCGUAAAGGGCGCGUAGGCGGCAUGGCAAGUCGGGAGUGAAAGCCCGGGGCUCAACCCCGGAACUGCUUUCGAAACUGCCAAGCUAGAGUACGGAAGGGGCUACUGGAAUUCCCAGUGUAGCGGUGAAAUGCGUAGAUAUUGGGAAGAACACCGGAGGCGAAGGCGGGUUGCUGGGCCGAUACUGACGCUGAGGCGCGAAAGCCAGGGGAGCAAACGGGAUUAGAUACCCCGGUAGUCCUGGCCCUAAACGAUGGAUACUUGGUGUGUGGGGUUCUCAAAGUCCCCGCGUGCCGGAGCUAACGCGUUAAGUAUCCCGCCUGGGGGAGUACGGUCGCAAGGCUGA